CCAUGUACGUCGUAGCAGGACUCACCACCUCGUUGCUGAAAACCACUGCGACAGAGAAUUGCGUUAAUAAUUAAGUCAGUUUCUGGGAAGGAAGGAAGGAAGCGACCGAAAGAGUUUGCACCAUACCGGGACUUGCCGGGCGGACGGGCCCUUUGAACUCUCUCGAUGUGAAUUUGGUUUAUUCCGAAAUCGGGUUUUCCUGCAGGAUAUGUCACCGUUUCCUGCAGCCUAUGAUUUUCUAUUCUCACGUACUUUCCACGAGUACAUUUUAGCGAAUAACAGUGGUGAAAUAAGGGAAUAGUAGUGACCAACUUACUGCUUGUGUCCAAUGUCAUAUGUAGCACCGAGUUCUUCGC
Long non-coding RNA from Nicrophorus vespilloides, 356 nucleotides. RefSeq lists it as uncharacterized. The record is from RefSeq and is a predicted model, not a curated record. NCBI's taxonomy places the organism in Eukaryota, Metazoa, Arthropoda, Insecta, Coleoptera, Silphidae. The transcript has 3 exons.